Molecule: long non-coding RNA, 895 nt
Organism: Daucus carota subsp. sativus
Lineage: Eukaryota; Viridiplantae; Streptophyta; Magnoliopsida; Apiales; Apiaceae
Exons: 3
Source: RefSeq, a predicted model, not a curated record
AAGCCGCGUGGUCAUGUAUCCUUUCUAUUCUACUGCCACGUACAUCUUUCUUCCCUAAUUUACAGACUCUAAAACCCUCGUCUCUCAUCAAUUCUCUCUCGUCACUGUUUCUCAAUCUCCCUCAAUCCCUUGCUAUCCCUCAAUCUCUCGCGUCUCUCUCUCUCUCUCUGAACACUCACCCGCUUCCAUCUUUCACCUUUGUACCCGCUGCUUCGUUUCCCGGCACCGUGCUUUGUCGGGUUGUCCUGCCGCCGCCGGAUUUCUCCGUAGCUGCCAUCCUCCGCUCCUAGCCUCCUACCACAUCUCCAGUCGCUGCACAGUGGCCCUCGAAGCCAGCCUUAUACUUCAGUUCUCCGGUCAAUUAACUCUAUUGGCCACAACCCACCUACACCUCUGGUUAUUCUAAUUGGAGUUGAACGAGAUGUUGAUCGUGGCAUGGAUCGAGAAGUGAUUGAAAUGGAUAUUCAGAAAUAGCCAAGGUAGUGUUGCAAGUUGAAGUUAGGCAGAGAUUUGCUAUUGAUAGAAUCUUGUCAGAAGCUAGCUGAAAGGAAUGAUAUGGCACUACAUAGUGUUAAUAGAAAUUUGAGAUAGACACCGGAGUUAAAGAUAAUGUUAAAGAUGGUUCGCCUAUUUAUGCUAAGCGUAAGAGUAAGGCUAGGCGAGGAUUGCAAGUGAUUAAGUUUCAACCUGAUGGUCAGGAAGAGUAAUCAAGAUCGAGUCUGUGGGACUAGUGGUAAUUGGAGUUGACUAAAUUUGAUUUAGUUGUAAAAACAUGUAAUAGAAUUUAUUAGUUUUAUUUUUCUGAUUUCAAUACUAUAGCCUGUUUGCGAUCCUCUUUUAAAGGGGGUUAAACUUUGUUCUUUUAAAUCUUUUAUUAAAGCUUUUAGGUUUUCAA